RNAcentral lists this ribosomal RNA (330 nucleotides) under uncultured bacterium. RNAcentral describes it as "bacterial SSU rRNA". It matches the Rfam family "Bacterial small subunit ribosomal RNA", at positions 568 to 898 of the family's 1533-position model. The record is from RNAcentral.
UUCGUAGGCGGUGCGGCAAGUUGGGAGUGAAAUCUCUGGGCUUAACCCAGAGGCUGCUUUCAAAACUGCCGUGCUCGAGUGCGAGAGAGGCCAGUGGAAUUGCAGGUGUAGCGGUGAAAUGCGUAGAUAUCUGCAGGAACACCCGUGGCGAAGGCGGCUGGCUGGAUCGCAACUGACGCUGAGGAACGAAAGCUAGGGGAGCAAACAGGAUUAGAUACCCUGGUAGUCCUAGCCCUAAACCGUCAGAACUUGGGGUGGCUCGCGUAGGCGGGUCGUCCCGUAGCUAACGCGUUAAGUUCUGCGCCUGGGGAGUACGGUCGCAAGACUGAA